Molecule: long non-coding RNA, 1842 nt
Organism: Gallus gallus (chicken)
Lineage: Eukaryota; Metazoa; Chordata; Aves; Galliformes; Phasianidae
Source: Ensembl
GUUCACAAGGCAGGAUGGCUUUUUCCUGAUGAAAUGCCCAUUACGUGCCUGGCUUUAGUUUGACUUCACUGCAGAUAGGCUGCCUGGCCAAGGGAUCUCUGCUUGUUAUUUGUUUCCUUUCGUUUUCUGCUGUAAAGCAUAAGAACCCCAAACGCAGUGUUUUUGGAGCCGUGGUGUUCUGCGGCGUGUCAUUGCUGAGACAUUCUGACAUCUAAGCCGACAAACAGGACGAGUCAGCACCGUUCUGCCCAGCACACAUUUGGAGCCCUUCAGAACCUGAAGGCACUGUUCAAACGGAGGCUGAAUGUUGAUGUGUUCGGUUUCUUCGUGCGCUGUUUCAGCGCAGUGCUGCAGGGAGAGGCGCUCUGUGCAGACCAAUGGCGGGGCAGUGACGGACAGCUGCUUUCUGCCUUCCCCCCGUGUCACAAGUUGGUAUUUCUUGCCGACGCUCCGAAUGCAGGAGCGCAGUGAGCUCGGACUUGCAGCGCGGGCUGUAAAGGCUGCUCACCACACUCCAUCUGUCGGUAAGGUGGGUAACUGCCCGAGUGAGCAGCGCUGCCCACCGGCGUUCCCAGCUCGGUGCGUGCAGGAGCUCUGACCCUGGAGCAGCGCUGCUGCUGGGAGUGCUUCUCUCCACGGGGUCGUUUAGCCGAUGUGCCGAUGCUGAGGUGCGGCGGCCUUGCGGAGCGGCUCCUGGCGCUGUGUUUGCUGCCAUCUGAUUGCGGGCAGGGCAGACCACGCGCUGUAGGUGAGCUCAGCAGCUCCGUACCUCCAACUCAGCACUGCAGCUGUGGAUUCAACGAGCAUUUCUGGCAACCUGCAGCGCUCAGCAAAAAGGGCAUUUCCUCUUCCUGAAGCACAAACUCAACAGAGACAAUGUGAAGCCUUUAAGUCUUUUUGAGCGGCUACUGAGGUGGAAACAGCUGGGCUGAGGCGGAUGCUUUGAGACAGAACGUGGUUUGUGGGGACAGGACCAGCAAUGGAGACCUGAGUUUGGUCGGAACAGAGAGCUGGAGAAGACCUCUAUGAUGCAGGAUAAUUCUCUGCGCCCUCUCUGAUGGAAACCCCAAAGCACCCCUCUUCCCAUGCUGCUCUCCCACCUUGCCCAAUGGCAGGGCCGGUCAGCUGGCUGCCAUGUGCUCGGUGUGCUGGCAGCAGCUCAGCCUGCAUUCAGGGCGCGCUGCCUGCCCCACUGCUGCACCCACACUGCAGGACCGGGUGUGGUGGGUGCCCUCCAUCCAUCAUCUCCUGGGGCAGCACCUCCUGCAGUGCCCUGUGGGGCCGGGAGGGCCUUGGGGCGCAGAGCCACAGGUAGGGAGAGGAUUCCCACACCCAUCUCCAAGACUUAUCUGAGGCACAGCUCUGCACAGCGAUGACAAAGCCACUGCUGUCACCGAGCAGUCACCAAAUGACACAGCCUGAGGAAAGCAGGCUAUGGGAGGAGGAUGGGAGCCGGGCACACGCUGGUGGAGAAGACAGGCUGUGCGGCGUUUUGGAGUGCAUCCACGGUGUGCUGGGUGCUGCGUGGUGCUGCAGGCCCUGCUGGGAGCGGGAGUGCUGAGUGAAUGUAGUGAGGGGUCCCCCAGGUGGGCGGGUGGGGGGGGAGGGGGGGCUGGGGCUGCACCCCCACCUGGAUACUGUUGCUUGGGAAACCUCUCCUGCAGCAUCUGCUCAGCACCGCGCUUCUGCCUCCAGAUAACGGCGUCACGGGGCUGCGCUGGGGAGGAAAAUAAAAGCCACACAGGUGCAGGGGAAGGGAUGGAGAUAUUGUGAGAUGCUUGGAGAGAACAAGCACCUAAAAAUACUGGUGCUUUCACAAGCAGCAUGGCAGGGACAGGCUGG